RNAcentral lists this long non-coding RNA (320 nucleotides) under Elaeis guineensis (African oil palm). RNAcentral describes it as "long non-coding RNA (EGUI_LNC029381)". The record is from RNAcentral. Lineage: Eukaryota; Viridiplantae; Streptophyta; Magnoliopsida; Arecales; Arecaceae.
UUUCGCAAUCAUUUCCCCUGACCGUGGGCGGCCCACUACCAGGCGGUUACAAACGUCGCCAUCAGUCCGUUGCCUCCCCCGCCUAUAAAAGGGGGGACUCAGAUACGUUAUUCCUUAAGCCCUUUCGCCUUAUCUCAAAACUCUGCUAAAUUCUCCGUUCGAGCACUCCAUUCUUGUUGAGGCAGAGAACUGACUUGAGCGUCGGAGGGUCUUGCCGGAGCAACCCCACCUCCGGUUUAGACUUCCCUUGCAGGUCCCGGCGGCGACCGCGGCUUCCUCAACUCCAGCUUCUCCGGUGCAGGCGGAUUUCUGCACCAACA